UGGUACAAGUAGAGGCAUCCCGCUUCUCACCUGAAUGACGCGUUUUGCAGUUACCAGGUAACUUUCAUGAUAAUUAAGCGAUGUGCUUUAUAAUCAGAUGCGGGUGUUUCGACACUCGCAUCUUUUUUGUUUC
RNAcentral lists this small RNA (133 nucleotides) under Bacillus sp. 349Y. RNAcentral describes it as "L20_leader". It matches the Rfam family "Ribosomal protein L20 leader". From Rfam's summary of the family: This family is a putative r-protein leader autoregulatory structure found in B. subtilis and other low-GC Gram-positive bacteria. It is located in the 5' untranslated regions of mRNAs encoding initiation factor 3 followed by ribosomal proteins L35 and L20 (infC-rpmI-rplT). A Rho-independent transcription terminator structure that is probably involved in regulation is included at the 3' end. The record is from RNAcentral. Lineage: Bacteria; Bacillati; Bacillota; Bacilli; Caryophanales; Bacillaceae.